GCGAGCUGGGUUUAGAACGUCGUGAGACAGUUCGGUCCCUAUCUGCCGUGGGCGCUGGAGAACUGAGGGGGGCUGCUCCUAGUACGAGAGGACCGGAGUGGACGCAUCACUGGUGUUCGGGUUGUCAUGCCAAUGGCACUGCCCGGUAGCUAAAUGCGGAAGAGAUAAGUGCUGAAAGCAUCUAAGCACGAAACUUGCCCCGAGAUGAGUUCUCCCUGACUCCUUGAGAGUCCUGAAGGAACGUUGAAGACGACGACGUUGAUAGGCCGGGUGUGUAAGCGCAGCGAUGCGUUGAGCUAACCGGUACUAAUGAACCGUGAGGCUUAACCUU
RNAcentral lists this ribosomal RNA (331 nucleotides) under Escherichia coli. Its description in RNAcentral is "partial 23S ribosomal RNA". It matches the Rfam family "Bacterial large subunit ribosomal RNA", at positions 2600 to 2925 of the family's 2925-position model. The record is from RNAcentral. Lineage: Bacteria; Pseudomonadati; Pseudomonadota; Gammaproteobacteria; Enterobacterales; Enterobacteriaceae.